This 253-nucleotide ribosomal RNA is filed under the name uncultured bacterium. Its description in RNAcentral is "partial 16S ribosomal RNA". It matches the Rfam family "Bacterial small subunit ribosomal RNA", at positions 524 to 776 of the family's 1533-position model. The record is from RNAcentral.
UACGUAGGGUGCGAGCGUUAAUCGGAAUUACUGGGCGUAAAGCGUGCGCAGGCGGUGAUGUAAGACAGGUGUGAAAGCCCCGGGCUUAACCUGGGAAUGGCCAUGGAAACUGGCGAACUGGAGUGUGGCAGAGGGGGGUGGAAUUCCGCGUGUAGCAGUGAAAUGCGUAGAGAUGCGGAGGAACACCGAUGGCGAAGGCAGCCCCCUGGGCUAGCACUGACGCUCAGGCACGAAAGCGUGGGGAGCAAACAGG